GUGAGGAUGCCCUCACCGGGUACGUGAACACGUGGUCCCCGUGCGGGGGAAGCCGGACCGAAGCCGGCGCUGACCCGCAACCGUGGGUCGUCCUGCGGGACGGCGAGCCGGAACGCCUGCCGGGGGCGACACCCCAUC
RNAcentral lists this non-coding RNA (138 nucleotides) under Nocardioides scoriae. The record is from RNAcentral. Lineage: Bacteria; Bacillati; Actinomycetota; Actinomycetes; Propionibacteriales; Nocardioidaceae.